Molecule: ribosomal RNA, 447 nt
Filed under: uncultured bacterium
Lineage: Bacteria
Description: bacterial SSU rRNA
Rfam family: Bacterial small subunit ribosomal RNA
Source: RNAcentral
UUCCAGACUCCUACGGGAGGCAGCAGUGGGGAAUAUUGCACAAUGGGGGAAACCCUGAUGCAGCGAUGCCGCGUGGAGGAAGAAGGUUUUCGGAUUGUAAACUCCUUUUAUCAGGGACGAUAAUGACGGUACCUGAAGAAAAAGCUCCGGCUAACUACGUGCCAGCAGCCGCGGUAAUACGUAGGGAGCGAGCGUUGUCCGGAAUUACUGGGUGUAAAGGGAGCGUAGGCGGGACGGCAAGUCAGAUGUGAAAACUGAGGGCUCAACUUUCAGACUGCAUUUGAAACUGCUGUUCUUGAGUGAAGUAGAGGUAAGCGGAAUUCCUAGUGUAGCGGUGAAAUGCGUAGAUAUUAGGAGGAACACCAGUGGCGAAGGCGGCUUGCUGGACGAUCACUGACGCUGAGGCUCGAAAGCGUGGGGAGCAAACAGGAUUAGAUACCCUCGUAA